AGAACGAACGCUGGCGGCAUGCCUAACACAUGCAAGUCGAACGAGACCUUCGGGUCUAGUGGCGCACGGGUGCGUAACGCGUGGGAAUCUACCCUUGGGUUCGGAAUAACAGCGGGAAACUGCUGCUAAUACCGGAUAAUGACGUAAGUCCAAAGAUUUAUCGCCCAAGGAUGAGCCCGCGUAGGAUUAGCUAGUUGGUGAGGUAAAGGCUCACCAAGGCAACGAUCCUUAGCUGGUCUGAGAGGAUGAUCAGCCACACUGGGACUGAGACACGGCCCAGACUCCUACGGGAGGCAGCAGUGGGGAAUAUUGGACAAUGGCGAAAGCCUGAUCCAGCAAUGCCGCGUGAGUGAUGAAGGCCUUAGGUUGUAAAGCUCUUUUACCGGGAUGAUAAUGACAGUACCGGAGAAUAAGCUCCGGCUAACUCCGUGCCAGACAGCCGAC
This 444-nucleotide ribosomal RNA is filed under the name uncultured soil bacterium. RNAcentral's name for it is "bacterial SSU rRNA". It matches the Rfam family "Bacterial small subunit ribosomal RNA", at positions 26 to 518 of the family's 1533-position model. The record is from RNAcentral.